UACGUAGGGGGCGAGCGUUGUCCGGAAUCAUUGGGCGUAAAGCGCGUGUAGGCGGCCCGGUAAGUCCGCUGUGAAAGUCCAGGGCUCAACCCUGGGAUGCCGGUGGAUACUGUCGGGCUAGAGUCCGGAAGAGGAGUGUGGAAUUCCUGGUGUGGCGGUGAAAUGCGCAGAUAUCAGGAGGAACACCGGUGGCGAAGGCAGCUCUCUGGGACGGUACUGACGCUGAGACGCGAAAGCGUGGGGAGCGAACAGG
Molecule: ribosomal RNA, 253 nt
Filed under: uncultured bacterium
Lineage: Bacteria
Description: partial 16S ribosomal RNA
Rfam family: Bacterial small subunit ribosomal RNA
Source: RNAcentral